RNAcentral lists this ribosomal RNA (468 nucleotides) under uncultured bacterium. RNAcentral describes it as "partial 16S ribosomal RNA". It matches the Rfam family "Bacterial small subunit ribosomal RNA", at positions 28 to 507 of the family's 1533-position model. The record is from RNAcentral.
GACGUACGCUGGCGGCGUGCUUAACACAUGCAAGUCGAACGGAAAGGCCCUGCUUUUGUGGGGUGCUCGAGUGGCGAACGGGUGAGUAACACGUGAGUAACCUGCCCUUGCCUUUGGGAUAACUUCAGGAAACUGGGGCUAAUACCGGAUAGGAGCUCCUGCUGCAUGGUGGGGGUUGGAAAGUUUCGGCGGUUGGGGAUGGACUCGCGGCUUAUCAGCUUGUUGGUGGGGUAGUGGCUUACCAAGGCUUUGACGGGUAGCCGGCCUGAGAGGGUGACCGGCCACAUUGGGACUGAGAUACGGCCCAGACUCCUACGGGAGGCAGCAGUGGGGAAUCUUGCACAAUGGGCGGGAGCCUGAUGCAGCAACGCCGCGUGCGGGAUGACGGCCUUCGGGUUGUAAACCGCUUUCGCCUGUGACGAAGCGUGAGUGACGGUAAUGGGUAAAGAAGCACCGGCUAACUACGUG